CAAUAUUGGAUUAAUCCUAGCAGAAUUUUUUUUGCAGAUUUGAUUAGUCACGGCAGUAUGGCUAUAAUUGACACUAUUUCAGGUAGAUAGGCUUCAUACGUUGUACAGAAGUUGGGAAGAUGACCCGGAUGUUGGGUAGAGAGACAAGGCAUUUGCAGCUAGUGGUGAUAUUGUGUCCAUCUAUAAUAUGCUGAAAGAAGGUUAUACCACUAAUAUAGUAAAGGUUUUUUUCACGGCUGCUAUCGUUCCGGAGGCUGCGUUAAUUCACGAACGAUAUCUGAAGUGCAAACACUCUAUGAGUUUGUCCACAUCGAGUCAAUUGACUGGACAUUCAAGGAUCUUGUUCGUCACGCGUAACUGCCGUGUAUGUUCACUUUGACGCUGCAUGGGACGAUGUAGCGUUGCAUGUAAUUCUAUGAUGAUAACUUUUGUUUAUAGAUUGAUACUGACUAAGUCCUUUACGUAGGUUGAACUUGCAUAUGUUGCUUCCUUUUGUGUGUUUGUUGCUAUGCUUUGCCUUUGGAUUGUAUA
Long non-coding RNA from Andrographis paniculata, 531 nucleotides. RefSeq lists it as uncharacterized. Lineage: Eukaryota; Viridiplantae; Streptophyta; Magnoliopsida; Lamiales; Acanthaceae. The transcript has 5 exons. The record is from RefSeq and is a predicted model, not a curated record.